AUCCGGAGGAUCCGAGCGUUAUCCGGAUUUAUUGGGUUUAAAGGGUGCGCAGGCGGCCAUUUAAGUCAGCGGUUAAAUCGUGGGGCUCAACCCCAUUCUGCCGUUGAUACUGGGUGGCUUGAUUGCGGUCGAGGUUGGCGGAAUUCGUUGUGUAGCGGUGAAAUGCAUAGAUAUGACGAAGAACACCGAUUGCGUAGGCAGCUGACCAGACCGCAAAUGACGCUCAUGCACGAAAGUGCGGGGAUCGAACAGGAUUAGAUACCCUGGUAGUCCGCACAGUAAACGAUGAAUACUUGUUUUCGGCGAUAUAAUGUCGGAGGCAAAGCGAAAGCGAUAAGUAUUCCACCUGGGGAGUACGCCGGCAACGGUGAAACUCAAAUGAAUUGGCGGGG
Molecule: ribosomal RNA, 392 nt
Filed under: uncultured bacterium
Lineage: Bacteria
Description: partial 16S ribosomal RNA
Rfam family: Bacterial small subunit ribosomal RNA
Source: RNAcentral